This 494-nucleotide ribosomal RNA is filed under the name uncultured bacterium. RNAcentral describes it as "partial 16S ribosomal RNA". It matches the Rfam family "Bacterial small subunit ribosomal RNA", at positions 28 to 507 of the family's 1533-position model. The record is from RNAcentral.
GACGAACGCUGGCGGCGUGCUUAACACAUGCAAGUCGAACGGAAAGGCCUGCUUUCCCUUGUGGAUUGCGGGUACUCGAGUGGCGAACGGGUGAGUAACACGUGAGUGAUCUGCCCCCAACUUGGGUAUAAGCCUGGGAAACUGGGUCUAAUUCCCGAUAGGACUGCAGGGUGGUGCCUGUGGUGGAAAACGAUUUUCUAGUGGUUGGGGAUGAGCUCGCGGCCUAUCAGCUUGUUGGUGGGGUAAUGGCCUACCAAGGCGGCGACGGGUAGCCGGCCUGAGAGGGUGGACGGCGACAUUGGGACUGAGAUACGGCCCAGACUCCUACGGGAGGCAGCAGUGGGGAAUAUUGCACGAUGGGCGGAAGCCUGAUGCAGCGACGCCGCGUGGGGGAUGACGGCCUUCGGGUUGUAAACUCCUUUCGACCGCGAGGAAGCCACCUGGUUGGAAGGGUGGUGACGGUAGUGGUAGAAGAAGCACCGGCUAACUACGUG